Molecule: ribosomal RNA, 495 nt
Filed under: uncultured bacterium
Lineage: Bacteria
Description: partial 16S ribosomal RNA
Rfam family: Bacterial small subunit ribosomal RNA
Source: RNAcentral
GAUGAACGCUGGCGGCGUGCCUAAUACAUGCAAGUAGAACGCUGAAGGAGGAGCUUGCUCUUCUGGAUGAGUUGCGAACGGGUGAGUAACGCGUAGGUAACCUGCCUGGUAGCGGGGGAUAACUAUUGGAAACGAUAGCUAAUACCGCAUGACAACAGUUAUUGCAUGAUAACUUUUUAAAAGUGGCAACUGCUCCACUACCAGAUGGACCUGCGUUGUAUUAGCUAGUUGGUGAGGUAACGGCUCACCAAGGCGACGAUACAUAGCCGACCUGAGAGGGUGAUCGGCCACACUGGGACGGAGACACGGCCCAGACUCCUACGGGAGGCAGCAGUAGGGAAUCUUCGGCAAUGGACGGAAGUCUGACCGAGCAACGCCGCGUGAGUGAAGAAGGGUUUCGGAUCGUAAAGCUCUGUUGUAAGAGAAGAACGAGUGUGAGAGUGGAAAGUUCACACUGUGACGGUAUCUUACCAGAAAGGGACGGCUAACUACGUG